CUCGGCCAUUCCAGACACCACAUCCCAAGACAUGUACUUUCAAAGGAGAGGUGUUGUUCCAAGCCAGUUUCAAAUAAUUUGUUAUGGCUUCAAUAGGAAACUCAGAUGUCAUUCCAGCCAUUCUCCCAGCUCUCUCCUGCACCAUUACUUUCCUCUCUGCACCAGUGUGCCCCUGAGAGCAGAGGCAUGCUGCUAUUCCUCCCAUCCUAGAAAACCCUCACAUGAUUCCAUUUUCUUCAUGAGCAACAGCCCGAUCUUGUGGUCUUCUUUAGAGUGAAUUCUUUGAAAACUGUCUAUGGCCUGACUCUAGCUCUCUCUCCCCACUUGCUUGAGCUUAGUCUAUUCAGGCUCUGGCCUCCACUCCUCUAUCAAAUUGCUCUAACCUUGAGAAGGACAAUUGUCAAAUGUAAUCAUUAAUUUUCAUUCCUUGUCUUACUUGUUCUGUCAUUAGCUUUAGACUCCUGAACCCUGAAUCAGUCGCUUCAUUUGCCGCUAGGACAGAACAACCUCCCCCCUGCCUCCUGCAGCACCCGACCUCCUCUCAGCCUCCUUUGCCAACCUCUUAAUGACAGGCCCCCUCUUCUCUGUCCACACUCACUCUACCUAAUCCCUGACCAUCUGUUUCCAUGGCUCUAAGUGGCAACUACGUUCUGGUGGAUCCUAA
Long non-coding RNA from Manis pentadactyla (Chinese pangolin), 664 nucleotides. RefSeq lists it as uncharacterized. NCBI's taxonomy places the organism in Eukaryota, Metazoa, Chordata, Mammalia, Pholidota, Manidae. The record is from RefSeq and is a predicted model, not a curated record. The transcript has 2 exons.